Bactrocera dorsalis (oriental fruit fly) is the source of this 4174-nucleotide long non-coding RNA. RefSeq lists it as uncharacterized. The record is from RefSeq and is a predicted model, not a curated record. The transcript is spliced from 3 exons. Lineage: Eukaryota; Metazoa; Arthropoda; Insecta; Diptera; Tephritidae.
CGAAGUCUAAUAUUUAUGAUUGUUUUUAUCUGUGUCACCCUGUGUUUGACUGAUGCAGUAAACAUGAAUUAACACUAAAGUAAUUAAAGUUUUACCGUACGGAGAGGAGAGGUACAAUUUCCAUUUCUAAAUAAACUGAAAGCACAGCAAUUUUCUUCAUUAACUUCAAAGAAAACAUGCUGAUUCUUAAAAUAAAAUCUGAAAAAUAUCACAUCAUUUAUGUAUAUCGAUCAUAUUAUCACAUUACAAAAUAUCAAUAGCAUGAGUAAGCUCCAUUAGGUAUCACUCAAUUCCUGACCUAACUUUACAUUUACAAAAUACAAAAAUAUUAUAUAAGUCUUUAAUAAGUCAACGCUACAACAAAUUCUUCAGAUCGGACCUCAAUAGUAUAUAGCUGCCAUACAAACUAACCGAUUAAAAUCAAAAUAAAGACCUUUUUAUACUCUUUUAUGCUAAAAUAUGCACCUGUGAAGGGUAUUAUAUCUUAGGUUGGAAUGAAGUUAACGUUUUUUGAAGUUUUAUUGACAAAAAGUCACUGAAAAUUUGCAUUUUUUCCAUAAAAUAUGGUUACACCCUAAUACUCAAAACAGAUACGCAUUUAUGUAUGUAUUAUCCAUAUAUUUCAUGCGAGAUAAUAACAAACCCAUAAUUGGAGGAAAUUGUCUGCCAACGAUAUUUGCGGUCUAAUGUGUUCAAAAAGCAGGCGAUACGUUGACGCACUGACCAUUUGCUGUUGAUCAACAAAGCGAAAAUUAAUACACAGAAAUUACAACAAAAAUUGCUACUCAACAUACAUAAAUAACAACAGAAAAGUCGUUCAUUUAAAAAUAAUAUGUGACACGAAUAUUUGAAACGCAGCAAAGACGAAAUAAGGCGGUCGGCAUGUCGCAGCUACGACAGGAGGUAGCCGCGCACCCAUUAAAAAUUGUAAAAUUUCGGCUGCCAAGUGGGGGUGUGGAGGCGCUUGUUGAUGUCUGUCGACUAAAGAUCGGUUGGCAGCGUACGAUAUUGACAAAGAGUGCGUUUUAUUUUCGGUUUAUCUUAUUUUAACGCGUAAUUUGGGUCAAAGAACUGAAAGUCGUCGCAAGCCGUCGUAUGCACCGUACCCAUACGAGAUGUGCCCAAACUGUUCUAUCGUUAACAAAAUUGCUACCGCAAAAAGUGAAUAAAAACGAACAUUAAAUAAAAUAUAAAUAAAAACCAAAACAAAAAUAAAGGCAAAAACAAAAACAAAGGAGAAGGCAAAGGCAAAAUGCGACAGCGGCGAGCCGGUGUGAUGACAAGCAACAUGUGACUCCACCGCUUGGCUGCGACGGACUCAAGUGGGGGCCAAUAAUUGUUUUACAAUAUGAAAACGAAAAUACUGGUACUGCAUAUGUGCAUACAUACAAACAUAUGUACAUAUGUGUGUCUAUAUACAUACAAAGUGAAUUGCUUGUAUGGUAGUGCGAGUGGGUGUGUUUGCAAUGACACUGCGGAGAAGCUGGCCAUACAAAUUAAAACGUAUAUAAAUAUGUAGCAUAUAUAGUAUAUAAUAUAUAGUAUAUGAAUAUCGAGUGUGCACAUUUAGUUGCAGAUGAAUGUGUGUCUAUCUAGAUUUGAAAGCUGUCCGUCUGCCCAGUGUACUUGCAUGUGACUUGUUGGUUGUUGGCUUGAAUUUUGUGCGUUCAUAUUAGUAUAAGUAGCUACCGUUAGAGACAUACUCGCACAUAUUUUGGUUUACACCGGCAUUUUCAAUAAAUAAUAUGUAUAAUAAAGAAAAUAUAUCUAAAAUGAGUUAUUCACAUCUACUAUUGCAUAGUUUUCACACAUACAUAUUUAUGUCCAUAUUUUCAUUCAUUUGUAGAAAGAGUUCCUUCAAAAAAGUAAGUAGUUAUUUGACUGGUUUUAGAUUAGCAUCCCCCGAUUUCGGCUUUAAAAUGGAUACAUAUGUAUGUAUAAAUGAGGAGGUCCUCCAGAUUAAGAGAAUAUACUAUAAUAUAUAUACAUACGUACUAUAUAUAGUUGCCGCUGACUUACGAUUUUGGAGAUAUUUGUAUUUAAAGUUAAACGCAUAAAGCAGUUCUACGUAAAAGAACAGAAAAAACCUCGGUGUUGGUCCUGCGCCAGCGCAAAUGGAAGCUCUACGUAAAAGAACCGAAUACAAACCGAUUGGGACUGGAAGGCCGCCAACGCAAAAAGAAGUUAUACGCGAAAGAUCCGAAUAUGGCCCGGUGUUGGACCGACCAAGGUUAUUUUUUGAAAAAAAAUUUUACGCAAAAAACUGAAAACAUCCCGGUUUUGGUAAAAAGGGGGUAAUUUUUUGAAAAGAAACGCCCCGGUCAUGUGCCGACUAGGGUUAUUUUUUGAAAACAAAUUCUACGAAAAAACUGAAUACAUCCCAUCCCGGUUUUGGUAAAAGGUGGGUUAUUUUUUGAAAAGAAACGCCCCGGUCAUGUGCCGACUAGGGUUAUUUUUUGAAAACAAAUUCUACGCAAAAAACUGAAUACAUCCCAUCCCGGUUUUGGUAAAAGGUGGGUUAUUUUUUGAAAAGAAACGCCCCGGGAAUGUGUCGUCUAGGGUUAUUUUUUGAAAACAAAUUCUACGCAAAAAAAUGAAUACAUACAUCCCGGUUUUGGUUCAAGCUGGGUUAUUUUUGGAAAAUAAGUUCUACGCAAAAGAACUGAAAACACCUCGGUGUUGGUCCGACUAGAGUUAUGUUUUUGAUGCUCUACGCGAAAGAACCGAAUACACCCCGGUUUGGACCGGAGAGUGUUAUUUUUGUGAAAGGUGGCCGACGGCCGCCAACGCAAAAGAAAGUUCUAUGCGAAAGAUCCGAAUAUAGCCCGAUGUUGGACCGACCAAGGUUAUUUUUUGAAAAGAAACCCCCGGUCAUGUGCCGACUAGGGUUAUUUUUUGAAAACAAAUUCUACGCAAAAAACUGAAUACAUCCCGGUUUUGGUAAAAAGUGGGUAAUUUUUUGAAAAGAAACGCCCCGGUCAUGUGCCGACUAGGGUUAUUUUUUGAAAACAAAUUCUACGCAAAAAACUGAAUACAUCCCGGUUUUGGUAAAAGGUGGGUUAUUUUUUUGAAAAGAAACGCCCCGGUCAUGUGCCGACUAGGGUUAUUUUUUGAAAACAAAUUCUACGCAAAAAACUGAAUACAUCCCGGUUUUGGUAAAAGGUGGGUUAUUUUUUGAAAAGAAACGCCCCGGUCCUGUGCCGACUAGGGUUAUUUUUUGAAAACAAAUUCUACGCAAAAAACUGAAUACAUACCAUCCCGGUUUUGGUAAAAGGUGGGUUAUUUUUUGAAAAGAAACGCCCCGGGAAUGUGUCGUCUAGGGUUAUUUUUUGAAAACAAAUUCUACGCAAAAAACUGAAUACAUACCAUCCCGGUUUUGGUUCAAGCUGGGUUAUUUUUGGAAAAUAAGUUCUACGCAAAAGAACUGAAAACACCUCGGUGUUGUUCCGACUAGAGUUAUGUUUUGAUGCUCUACGCGAAAGAACCGAAUACACCCCGGUUUGGACCGGACAGUGUUAUUUUUGUGAAAGGCGGCCGACGACCGCAAAAUCAAAAGAGAGUUCUACGCGAAAGAUCCGAAUAUAGCCUGAUGUUGGACCGACCAAGGUUAUUUUUUGAAAAGAAACCCCCGGUCAUGUGCCGAAUAGGGUUAUUUUUUGAAAACAAAUUCUACGCAAAAAACUGAAUACAUCCCGGUUUUGGUAAAAGCUGGGCUAUUUUUUGAAAACAAAUUCUACGCAAAAAACUGAAUACAUCCCGGUUUUGGUAAAAGGUGGGUUAUUUUUUGAAAAGAAACGCCCCGGUCAUGUGCCGACUAGGGUUAUUUUUUGAAAACAAAUUCUACGCAAAAAACUGAAUACAUCCCGGUUUUGGUAAAAGGUGGGUUAUUUUUUGAAAAGAAACGCCCCGGUCAUGUGCCGACUAGGGUUAUUUUUUGAAAACAAAUUCUACGCAAAAAACUGAAUACAUCCCGGUUUUGGUAAAAGCUGGGUUAUUUUUUGAAAAUAAGUUCUACGUAAAAGAACUGAAAACACCUCGUUGCCGAAAGCCGCAAACGCCAAAGCAGACUCUACGUGAAAAAACCGAAUACAAGCCGGUUUGGACCGGGCAAUGUUAUUUUUGUGAAAUGUGGCCGAAGGCACGGUGUUGGACCGAACAAGGUUAUUUUUGGAAA